Molecule: ribosomal RNA, 253 nt
Filed under: uncultured bacterium
Lineage: Bacteria
Description: partial 16S ribosomal RNA
Rfam family: Bacterial small subunit ribosomal RNA
Source: RNAcentral
UGCGUAGGGUGCGAGCGUUGUCCGGAAUUACUGGGCGUAAAGAGCUUGUAGGCGGUCUGUCACGUCGAUUGUGAAAACUUGCAGCUCAACUGCAAGCUUGCAGUCGAUACGGGCAGACUAGAGUACUUCAGGGGAGACUGGAAUUCCUGGUGUAGCGGUGAAAUGCGCAGAUAUCAGGAAGAACACCCGUGGCGAAGGCGGCUCUCUGGGACGGUACUGACGCUGAGACGCGAAAGCGUGGGGAGCGAACAGG